RNAcentral lists this ribosomal RNA (700 nucleotides) under uncultured Lachnospiraceae bacterium. Its description in RNAcentral is "bacterial SSU rRNA". It matches the Rfam family "Bacterial small subunit ribosomal RNA", at positions 60 to 759 of the family's 1533-position model. Lineage: Bacteria; Bacillati; Bacillota; Clostridia; Lachnospirales; Lachnospiraceae. The record is from RNAcentral.
AGUCGAACGAAGCAUUAGGAUUGAAGUUUUCGGAUGGAUUCCUAUAUGACUGAGUGGCGGACGGGUGAGUAACGCGUGGGGAACCUGCCCUAUACAGGGGGAUAACAGCUGGAAACGGCUGCUAAUACCGCAUAAGCGCACAGAAUCGCAUGAUUCAGUGUGAAAAGCCCUGGCAGUAUAGGAUGGUCCCGCGUCUGAUUAGCUGGUUGGUGAGGUAACGGCUCACCAAGGCGACGAUCAGUAGCCGGCUUGAGAGAGUGAACGGCCACAUUGGGACUGAGACACGGCCCAAACUCCUACGGGAGGCAGCAGUGGGGAAUAUUGCACAAUGGGGGAAACCCUGAUGCAGCGACGCCGCGUGAGUGAAGAAGUAUUUCGGUAUGUAAAGCUCUAUCAGCGGGGAAGAAAACAGACGGUACCUGACUAAGAAGCCCCGGCUAACUACGUGCCAGCAGCCGCGGUAAUACGUAGGGGGCAAGCGUUAUCCGGAAUUACUGGGUGUAAAGGGUGCGUAGGUGGCAUGGUAAGUCAGAAGUGAAAGCCCGGGGCUUAACCCCGGGACUGCUUUUGAAACUGUCAUGCUGGAGUGCAGGAGAGGUAAGCGGAAUUCCUAGUGUAGCGGUGAAAUGCGUAGAUAUUAGGAGGAACACCAGUGGCGAAGGCGGCUUACUGGACUGUCACUGACACUGAUGCACGAAAG